This 1236-nucleotide ribosomal RNA is filed under the name metagenome. RNAcentral describes it as "bacterial LSU rRNA". It matches the Rfam family "Bacterial large subunit ribosomal RNA", at positions 1564 to 2808 of the family's 2925-position model. The record is from RNAcentral.
UGAGUACGAGAUGCUACGGCGUCGAAGCAGUCUAUGUCAGACUUCCAAGAAAAGCUCGCACUGUCAUAAACAAAUAAUGCCUGUACCAUAACCGACACAGGUGGGUAGGUAGAGUAUACUAAGGGGCGCGAGAUAACUCUCUCUAAGGAACUCGGCAAAAUAACUCCGUAACUUCGGGAGAAGGAGUGCCUUCUUUAAGAAGGUUGCAAUAACAAGAUCCAAGCAACUGUUUAUCAAAAACACAGGUCUCCGCUAAGUCGCAAGACGAUGUAUGGGGGCUGACGCCUGCCCAGUGCCAGAAGGUUAAAGAAAUUGGUUAGCUUUGGCGAAGCUGAUGACUGAAGCCCUGGUGAACGGCGGCCGUAACUAUAACGGUCCUAAGGUAGCGAAAUUCCUUGUCGGGUAAGUUCCGACCCGCACGAAAGGCGUAAUGAUUUGGAUACUGUCUCGGAGAGGGACUCGGUGAAAUAGACUUGUCUGUGAAGAUGCGGACUACCUGCACCAGGACAGAAAGACCCUAUGAAGCUUUACUGUAACUUGAAAUUGAAAUUGGACUUUAUUUGCGCAGCAUAGGUGGAAGGCUUGGAAGGUAUUCUUGCGGGACUACUGGAGCCAUCAGUGAGAUACCACUCCUAUAAUGUUAGAUUUCUAACUUUGAAUCAUGAUCUGGUCAAAGAACAGUUUCAGGCGGGCAGUUUGACUGGGGCGGUCGCCUCCCAAAUGGUAACGGAGGCGUACAAAGGUUUCCUCUGAACGGGUAGAAAUCGUAUCUAGAGUUUAAAGGCAUAAGGAAGCUUGACUGUGAGACCUACAAGUCGAGCAGGGACGAAAGUCGGUCUUAGUGAUCUGACGGUGCUGAGUGGAAAGGCCGUCACUCAACGGAUAAAAGUUACUCUAAGGAUAACAGGCUGAUCUCCCCCAAGAGUUCACAUCGACGGGGAGGUUUGGCGCCUCGAUGUCGGCUCAUCGCGUCCUGGGGCGGUAGUACGUCCCAAGGGUUGGGCUGUUCGCCCAUGAAAGCGGUACGCGAGCUGGGUUCAGAACGUCGUGAGACAGUUCGGUCCAUAUCCGGUGUAGGCGUUAGAAUAUUGAGAGGAGCCUUCUUUAGUACGAGAGGACCGAGAAGGACAUACCUCUGGUGUACCAGUUAUCGUGCCAACGGUAAACGCUGGGUAGCUAUGUAUGGAGAGGAUAACCGCUGAAAGCAUCUAAGUGGGAAGCCCACCUCAAGAUGAG